GGCGUGGCGGGCGUGUGGUGGCACCGCGCCCAGCACUUGGAGCUCUUGGUGGCGGCCGAGCUGCAGGACCAGAGAUUCCCCCCACUCGGCACCCCUGCUCCUGCCGAGUGAACAGUACUCCUGGCUACUCUGUACCGGCUUUCUAACUUUCUGAUGGGGGUUCAGUCCUUUGCAUUCCAGGGGUCACAGGAACACCCGCAUCGCCCGUUUUCAGCCGCACUGGGUCUCUGCCUGCAUCACUCGACUCUAAAAUUUCCUUCCCCAGCGCACGGAACUGCUAUCCAGGACUGUGCUCUCCGACUACCUCAGGGAGGAUUCUGUUUUGGGAAAAGUAAGCCAAAACCUAUUGAUAAGGGUUCAAAAAUGUUUCACUUUUUUCUCUCUCAGUCGGAUAAAUUGGUCAACUCUAGAUUUCAGGUCCCUUCUGAAUUGACUCAGUUAAGGUGAAUGGUUGUGAAUGAGGUCCCUUAGAGUUCUGUGUUUCUGUGCCUUUAAUACUAAGAUUUAGUCCAGGACAUGUAAACCAGUUUAGAAUGGAAAAGCUUUAAGUACAAACAGAUUAACACACGUGACCAUGUGUUUGCUUUAGUCUGAGUGUAGAACUCAAAUUUCUGCAGUAUUUAAUUUCUACAGUUUCCUUCUGAGCAGAAAAAGAAUACCAUAAAAAUAUUUGCAAACAUUUUAUAUGGUGAUCUAGGGUCACGUCUCCAAGUUCUAAGCUUCUGUGGCUCCACGCACACAGAUUCCCUAAUAUUUACUAUGCAUCUGUCACUGUUCUGUUCUAUUAGAUUGCCUUAACUAUAGGCUUGUCCUAACGUAACCAUCCAAACCUAAGGAAGGAGAAACUUAAGUGACUUUGUGAACUUAGUGAAGUGACCAGAUUUGGGAAGGCUAAAACCCAGAGGAAAUAAAAUGGAAAACUUGAAGGUGACAAAUUAAAGUGGAAAAAUAGAUUAAUUUUUUUAAACUUUAUUGUCCUGAGAAACAAAUCUAUAAAUUCAUUAAUUUUAUUUUAGAAACUAUCUCUAGAUUCCUGGAAAUGAAGGAUUCAUUAUACUCUUAGAUAUAAUACUGAUUUCUGUGUGUACGUUAAUAAACUUUUUUAGAACAA
RNAcentral lists this long non-coding RNA (1111 nucleotides) under Pongo abelii (Sumatran orangutan). Its description in RNAcentral is "lincRNA". The record is from RNAcentral. Lineage: Eukaryota; Metazoa; Chordata; Mammalia; Primates; Hominidae.